AGCGGUUUCUGAUCAUGAUGUGUGUGUUUUGCUGGCUUCAGGAACACCUUGACAAUGAGUCUUCAUCCUGGAGGAGAACAUCAGCUCUGCCACUCUCAACUUGGUAGAUUCCUCUGCUGAGAGACUCCUGUCACGGGACCCUGACUUAGUUUCCAUGGGGACCCAGAGCAGGCGGCAUACUGAGAGAAAGAAGUGGACAACAGAUGAAAGAAGAGUGACAUGCUUGGCAGGCAGCAAUAAAUUAGGCCCACAUAUG
RNAcentral lists this long non-coding RNA (256 nucleotides) under Scleropages formosus (Asian bonytongue). RNAcentral's name for it is "lncRNA (ENSSFOG00015029094.1)". Lineage: Eukaryota; Metazoa; Chordata; Actinopteri; Osteoglossiformes; Osteoglossidae. The record is from RNAcentral.